This is a long non-coding RNA of Xiphophorus maculatus (southern platyfish), 1141 nucleotides long. RefSeq lists it as uncharacterized. The transcript has 3 exons. The record is from RefSeq and is a predicted model, not a curated record. Lineage: Eukaryota; Metazoa; Chordata; Actinopteri; Cyprinodontiformes; Poeciliidae.
CCAACCUGUACUGGACCCAGUCAGAACCGGGUCAGAACCCUCUGCAGACGGAGCGCCUGGCGUUCAGCACAUGAAUCUCUGUAAGACAUUUUCUAGAACACGAUCUGCUGAGUCAGCGUCUUAGCGGCUCUGGCCUGAUGCAGGAUGUUCUCCCUCACACUGUGACUCAGCACUCUUCCUCAUCAUCACCCUCCUCUUCCUCAUCAUCACCCUCCUCUUCCUCAUCAUCACCCUCCUCUUCCUCAUCAUCACCCUCCUCUUCCUCCUGAUCUCCAUAGCAGCAGAGUUUCAGCUGCAGAACUCUCAGCAGCUUUUAUUAGAUCUAGAAGUACCAGAGACAUCUUCAUCUUCAUCAACAUCUUCAUUUUCAUCUUCAUCUUCAUCGUUGUCUUCGUCUUCAUUGUGAUGUGUUUUUCCAUCUGGGGAAGAAGCAGCAUUUAUGGCUCCAUACUGGGAACGUGGCAGUGGAUCAGAGUGGGAAGUGGAUCUGGAUCAACUUGUUCCCUCAGGAAAAACACAAACAUCUGAUAAAGUUUUUAUUUCUCAGGGAUUCAAACCGGCCACCAUGUUGCAUCUGAUGUGAUCCAGAAAAAGCUGAACAAUAUUCAGCUAAUGUCAAAUAUUCAUUAUGAACAGUUCAGUCUGAACAAUCGGCUACAGAGAGGACAGAUGGACAGAAGGACCGUCCACCAUGGAGCGUCCUCCACCAGCUGGAUCCUGAUUGGCUCCUGUUUCAGUCUCACUUCCUCUGCAGAAAACCAGCUGGAUUACAACGAGAUUGAGAACCAGUAGAAGAGUGAUUGGACUGCAGGAGGAAGGUGGAGAACCCAGAGAGAACCCACUGGGAGACUCCAUGCAGGAAGGCUGGGAUUCAAACCCAAAACCUUCUCAGUGGUUCAGCCACCAGUUCAGAGCUGAAGGAAGAAAACUUGGAGGAAAAUUCAUCCAGAAACUGAACAACAUCAUCAUGUUAAAGAGUUCGGAUCCGAUCCAGUGAACGAAAGGACGAGCUGCUGAAGAUCGAAAGAACCAGAGAGUCACUGGUCCGUCCGUCCGUCCGUCCGUCCGUCCGUCCGUCCGUCCGUCCGUUCGUCCAUGGUGGAUGGACCAGUUAACGAUGAAAAUCAAUAAAAUAACUUAU